RNAcentral lists this long non-coding RNA (689 nucleotides) under Sorghum bicolor (sorghum). RNAcentral describes it as "long non-coding RNA (SBIC_LNC014978)". Lineage: Eukaryota; Viridiplantae; Streptophyta; Magnoliopsida; Poales; Poaceae. The record is from RNAcentral.
AAAUGUUUGGAUCGAUUUUAUAAAAUAGAUAGGCUAUUUGCUCGUCGCUAGUGACUACUCUCUUCUAGUUUUUUCUGGUCUACAUCAUAAUAGUUAGCCAAAUAGCUGGUUGUUGGGGACAUCCUUAGUUGUACUGACCGGGGGAAAAGAAGUACGAUGUUUGUGUGAUAUGACAUGGUCUCUCAUAGAUACAUUUAAUUAAAUUUAUUUGAUGGAUUGGAUGGUGGUAACCAUAAUUUACAAAAAAGUAUACCGUGAGUAAAAUAUACAAUAGUCCUUAAACUUUUUCAUGAUUCUUACUUGGGUCCUUGCUAAAAAAAUUAUGACCAAUGUGAGUCCUAAAUCUAGUGUGGACUUUCAUCUGGGUCCUCCAAAAAACAUGGUGACCAUUUAGUGGUGGAGUGUUUGGCUGGUGCUCCGAUCUGAUCCGAGCCACUGGCUUGCCUUAUUAGAUCCCAUUCAUGCUACUAGCAGAGCUGUGUCCGAUCCAUACAUAUAGAGAGGGUCCAGUGAGUGCGGAAAUCUGCUGCUGAUGAGUUCCUACGACGACAUGGUAGUCAACCAACGUAUGUAGUUACUGAUCCUCCAUUAUCAUCAAUUCAUCAUCAUCGACUGGCAGACAGCAACGCAGGAGGCAAUCGAGGUACAUAAUUAUUAGACUCUUCUCAAUAACCCCAUUCUAUCUAGCU